GAGAGAGCGCUGAGCGCCAAGCGCUGAGGCGUGGAGACUCGAGGUGGCGGCCGAGAGUAGGAAGCAAAACAACGGGACGGGACUGACUCGGGGCAACAACGACUACCCAUUGUGGGGAAAGCCCCACCCACAAUGGCUGCAGCCCCCAGCAUCUGCCUCCAGAGCGGCGUCUUCUGUGUGACACUCAGGGAUGGAGCAGGGGGAGUGUUCGCAGGGAGAGGACUUCCGGAACCGGGCCGAUUACCUUCAUCGGUGUUAG
Molecule: long non-coding RNA, 259 nt
Filed under: Homo sapiens (human)
Lineage: Eukaryota; Metazoa; Chordata; Mammalia; Primates; Hominidae
Description: HSALNT0344662
Source: RNAcentral